GACGAACGCUGGCGGCGUGCUUAACACAUGCAAGUCGAACGGAAAGGCCCUGCUUUUGUGGGGUGCUCGAGUGGCGAACGGGUGAGUAACACGUGAGUAACCUGCCCUUGACUUUGGGAUAACUUCAGGAAACUGGGGCUAAUACCGGAUAUGAGCUCCUGCUGCAUGGUGGGGGUUGGAAAGUUUCGGCGGUGGGAGCUGGACUCGCGGCUUAUCAGCUUGUUGGUGGGGUAGUGGUUUACCAAGGGUUUGACGGGUAGCCGGCCUGAGAGGGUGACCGGGCUCCUGGGGACUGAGAGACGCAGCAGACUCCUACGGGAGGCAGCAGUGGGGAAUAUUGCACAAUGGGCGGAAGCCUGAUACAGCGACGCCGCGUGCGGGAUGACGGCCUUCGGGUUGUAAACCGCUUUCGCCUGAGACGAAGCGUGAGUGACGGUAAUGGGUAAAGAAGCACCGGCUAACUACGUG
Molecule: ribosomal RNA, 468 nt
Filed under: uncultured bacterium
Lineage: Bacteria
Description: partial 16S ribosomal RNA
Rfam family: Bacterial small subunit ribosomal RNA
Source: RNAcentral